AGAGUUUGAUCCUGGCUCAGAUUGAACGCUGGCGGCAUGCCUAACACAUGCAAGUCGAACGGAAACGAUGGAAGCUUGCUUCCAGGCGUCGAGUGGCGGACGGGUGAGUAAUACUUAGGAAUCUGCCCAUUAGUGGGGGACAACUCGAGGAAACUCGAGCUAAUACCGCAUACGCCCUACGGGGGAAAGCGGGGGUCUUCGGACCUCGCGCUAAUGGAUGAGCCUAAGCCGGAUUAGCUUGUUGGUAGGGUAAUGGCCUACCAAGGCGACGAUCCGUAGCUGUUCUGAGAGGAAGAUCAGCCACACUGGGACUGAGACACGGCCCAGACUCCUACGGGAGGCAGCAGUGGGGAAUAUUGGACAAUGGGCGCAAGCCUGAUCCAGCAAUGCCGCGUGUGUGAAGAAGGCCUGCGGGUUGUAAAGCACUUUCAGUAGAGAAGAAAAGCUUAGGGUUAAUACCCCUGGGUCUUGACGUUACCUACAGAAGAAGCUCCGGCUAACUCCGUGCCAGCAGCCGCGGUAAUACGGAGGGAGCGAGCGUUAAUCGGAAUUACUGGGCGUAAAGCGCGCGUAGGCGGCUUUGUCAGUCGGAUGUGAAAGCCCUGGGCUCAACCUGGGAAUGGCAUUCGAUACUGCAGAGCUAGAGUAUGGUAGAAGGGAAGUGGAAUUUCCGGUGUAGCGGUGAAAUGCGUAAAUAUC
Molecule: ribosomal RNA, 699 nt
Filed under: uncultured bacterium
Lineage: Bacteria
Description: bacterial SSU rRNA
Rfam family: Bacterial small subunit ribosomal RNA
Source: RNAcentral